GGGUUGUGAGGUUAAGCGACUAAGCGUACACGGUGGAUGCCCUGGCAGUCAGAGGCGAUGAAGGACGUGCUAAUCUGCGAAAAGCGUCGGUAAGGUGAUAUGAACCGUUAUAACCGGCGAUGUCCGAAUGGGGAAACCCAGUGCAAUUCGUUGCACUAUCGUUAACUGAAUACAUAGGUUAACGAGGCGAACCGGGGGAACUGAAACAUCUAAGUACCCGAGGAAAAGAAAUCAACCGAGAUUCCCCCAGUAGCGGCGAGCGAACGGGGAGCAGCCCAGAGUCUGAAUCAGCUUGUGUGUUAGUGGAACGGUCUGGAAAGUCCGACGGUACAGGGUGAUAGUCCCGUACACCAAAAUGCACAGGCUGUGAACUCGAAGAGUAGGGCGGGACACGUGGUAUCCUGUCUGAAUAUGGGGGGACCAUCCUCCAAGGCUAAAUACUCCUGACUGACCGAUAGUGAACCAGUACCGUGAGGGAAAGGCGAAAAGAACCCCGGCGAGGGGAGUGAAAAAGAACCUGAAACCGUGUACGUACAAGCAGUGGGAGCACCUUCGGGUGUGACUGCGUACCUUUUGUAUAAUGGGUCAGCGACUUAUAUUCUGUAGCAAGGUUAACCGUAUAGGGGAGCCGCAGGGAAACCGAGUCUUAACUGGGCGUUAAGUUGCAGGGUAUAGACCCGAAACCCGGUGAUCUAGCCAUGGGCAGGUUGAAGGUUGGGUAACACUAACUGGAGGACCGAACCGACUAAUGUUGAAAAAUUAGCGGAUGACUUGUGGCUGGGGGUGAAAGGCCAAUCAAACCGGGAGAUAGCUGGUUCUCCCCGAAAGCUAUUUAGGUAGCGCCUCGUGAACUCAUCUUCGGGGGUAGAGCACUGUUUCGGCUAGGGGGUCAUCCCGACUUACCAACCCGAUGCAAACUACGAAUACCGAAGAAUGUUAUCACGGGAGACACACGGCGGGUGCUAACGUCCGUCGUGAAGAGGGAAACAACCCAGACCGCCAGCUAAGGUCCCAAAGUCAUGGUUAAGUGGGAAACGAUGUGGGAAGGCACAGACAGCCAGGAUGUUGGCUUAGAAGCAGCCAUCAUUUAAAGAAAGCGUAAUAGCUCACUGGUCGAGUCGGCCUGCGCGGAAGAUGUAACGGGGCUAAACCAUGCACCGAAGCUGCGGCAGCGACACUAUGUGUUGUUGGGUAGGGGAGCGUUCUGUAAGCCUGCGAAGGUGUGCUGUGAGGCAUGCUGGAGGUAUCAGAAGUGCGAAUGCUGACAUAAGUAACGAUAAAGCGGGUGAAAAGCCCGCUCGCCGGAAGACCAAGGGUUCCUGUCCAACGUUAAUCGGGGCAGGGUGAGUCGACCCCUAAGGCGAGGCCGAAAGGCGUAGUCGAUGGGAAACAGGUUAAUAUUCCUGUACUUGGUGUUACUGCGAAGGGGGGACGGAGAAGGCUAUGUUAGCCGGGCGACGGUUGUCCCGGUUUAAGCAUGUAGGCUGAUUGUCCAGGCAAAUCCGGAUAAUCAAGGCUGAGGUGUGAUGACGAGGCACUACGGUGCUGAAGUAACAAAUGCCCUGCUUCCAGGAAAAGCCUCUAAGCAUCAGGUAACAUCAAAUCGUACCCCAAACCGACACAGGUGGUCAGGUAGAGAAUACCAAGGCGCUUGAGAGAACUCGGGUGAAGGAACUAGGCAAAAUGGUGCCGUAACUUCGGGAGAAGGCACGCUGGUGUGUAGGUGAAGUCCCUGCGGAUGGAGCUGAGACCAGUCGAAGAUACCAGCUGGCUGCAACUGUUUAUUAAAAACACAGCACUGUGCAAACACGAAAGUGGACGUAUACGGUGUGACGCCUGCCCGGUGCCGGAAGGUUAAUUGAUGGGGUUAUCCGUAAGGAGAAGCUCUUGAUCGAAGCCCCGGUAAACGGCGGCCGUAACUAUAACGGUCCUAAGGUAGCGAAAUUCCUUGUCGGGUAAGUUCCGACCUGCACGAAUGGCGUAAUGAUGGCCAGGCUGUCUCCACCCGAGACUCAGUGAAAUUGAACUCGCUGUGAAGAUGCAGUGUACCCGCGGCAAGACGGAAAGACCCCGUGAACCUUUACUAUAGCUUGACACUGAACAUUGAGCCUUGAUGUGUAGGAUAGGUGGGAGGCUUUGAAGCGUGGACGCCAGUCUGCGUGGAGCCAACCUUGAAAUACCACCCUUUAAUGUUUGAUGUUCUAACGUUGGCCCCUGACCGGGGUUGCGGACAGUGUCUGGUGGGUAGUUUGACUGGGGCGGUCUCCUCCCAAAGCGUAACGGAGGAGCACGAAGGUUAGCUAAUCCUGGUCGGACAUCAGGAGGUUAGUGCAAUGGCAUAAGCUAGCUUGACUGCGAGCGUGACGGCGCGAGCAGGUGCGAAAGCAGGUCAUAGUGAUCCGGUGGUUCUGAAUGGAAGGGCCAUCGCUCAACGGAUAAAAGGUACUCCGGGGAUAACAGGCUGAUACCGCCCAAGAGUUCAUAUCGACGGCGGUGUUUGGCACCUCGAUGUCGGCUCAUCACAUCCUGGGGCUGAAGUAGGUCCCAAGGGUAUGGCUGUUCGCCAUUUAAAGUGGUACGCGAGCUGGGUUUAGAACGUCGUGAGACAGUUCGGUCCCUAUCUGCCGUGGGCGCUGGAGAAUUGAGGGGGCUGCUCCUAGUACGAGAGGACCGGAGUGGACGCAUCACUGGUGUUCGGGUUGUCAUGCCAAUGGCACUGCCCGGUAGCUAAAUGCGGAAGAGAUAAGUGCUGAAAGCAUCUAAGCACGAAACUUGCCCCGAGAUGAGUUCUCCCUGAGACUUUAAGUCUCCUGAAGGAACGUUAAAGACGAUGACGUUGAUAGGCCGGGUGUGUAAGCGCAGCGAUGCGUUGAGCUAACCGGUACUAAUGAACCGUGAGGCUUAACCUUACAACGCCGAAG
RNAcentral lists this ribosomal RNA (2921 nucleotides) under Klebsiella pneumoniae. Its description in RNAcentral is "23S ribosomal RNA". It matches the Rfam family "Bacterial large subunit ribosomal RNA". The record is from RNAcentral. Lineage: Bacteria; Pseudomonadati; Pseudomonadota; Gammaproteobacteria; Enterobacterales; Enterobacteriaceae.